ACCGUGAAUAAUUACAAUAAUAUUAUGAUAUAGUCGAACUAGUAAUAUAAUGUAUUUUAACUAAAGUUUGUCUUUUUUUUUCUUGAACCCUCGUGACAAAGUUUUAAAAGGAUCCGCACUCGGUAGCGUAAAUAAUUGUUCUCGUAUAUCAAAUAAAUACCGUAUCGGAUAUCUUACCCAUCCCUGAUGGUCUGUUUAUUGUAUUU
This is a non-coding RNA of Cinara cedri, 206 nucleotides long. The record is from the annotation of a GenBank genome assembly. NCBI's taxonomy places the organism in Eukaryota, Metazoa, Arthropoda, Insecta, Hemiptera, Aphididae.